This 274-nucleotide ribosomal RNA is filed under the name uncultured bacterium. RNAcentral describes it as "partial 16S ribosomal RNA". It matches the Rfam family "Bacterial small subunit ribosomal RNA", at positions 523 to 796 of the family's 1533-position model. The record is from RNAcentral.
AUACGGAGGGUGCGAGCGUUAAUCGGAUUUACUGGGCGUAAAGGGCGAGUAGGCGGCAUGCUAAGUCUCAUGUGAAAUCUCCCGGCUCAACUGGGAGGGGUCAUGGGAAACUGGCAAGCUUGAGAGCAGUAGAGGGAAGCGGAAUUCCCGGAGUAGUGGUGAAAUGCGUAGAUACCGGGAGGAACACCAGUGGCGAAGGCGGCUUCCUGGGCUGUUUCUGACGCUGAGGAGCGAAAGCGUGGGGAGCAAACCGGAUUAGAAACCCGAGUAGUCC